Molecule: transfer RNA, 88 nt
Filed under: Chloroflexota bacterium
Lineage: Bacteria; Bacillati; Chloroflexota
Description: Chloroflexi bacterium (groundwater metagenome) tRNA-Ser
Rfam family: tRNA
About the family: Transfer RNA (tRNA) molecules are approximately 80 nucleotides in length. Their secondary structure includes four short double-helical elements and three loops (D, anti-codon, and T loops). Further hydrogen bonds mediate the characteristic L-shaped molecular structure. tRNAs have two regions of fundamental functional importance: the anti-codon, which is responsible for specific mRNA codon recognition, and the 3' end, to which the tRNAs corresponding amino acid is attached (by aminoacyl-tRNA synthetases). tRNAs cope with the degeneracy of the genetic code in two manners: having more than one tRNA (with a specific anti-codon) for a particular amino acid; and 'wobble' base-pairing, i.e. permitting non-standard base-pairing at the 3rd anti-codon position.
Source: RNAcentral
GGAGAGGUGCUGGAGUGGACUAUCAGGCACGCCUGGAGAGCGUGUGUCGCGAAAGCGACCGCGGGUUCGAAUCCCGCCCUCUCCGCCA